RNAcentral lists this non-coding RNA (147 nucleotides) under Pan troglodytes (chimpanzee). Lineage: Eukaryota; Metazoa; Chordata; Mammalia; Primates; Hominidae. The record is from Rfam by way of RNAcentral.
GCCAGGCAUGGUAGCGAAUGCCUGUAGUCCCAGCUACUCAGGAGGCAGAGGCAGGAGGAUUGCAUGAGCCCGGGAGUUCAUGGCUGUAGUGAGCUAUGAUCCAUGACUGCACUCCAGCCUGGGUGACAGAGCAAGACCCUGUCUCUU